GCAAAUACACCCACUGAUCCAAAUGUCAAUUACGAAGACUUUAUAGGAUUUCCUUGUUAUCGUUCAUGAACUUCUGUGAUAAAUACAAGCCCUCAUAGCUUGCCAAAACCAUCAAACAUUCACUCGCGAGAACGAUAACAAACACACCGGAGGCAAACGGAGCUUACGCCGGAAAACCACCAAAGCCGCCGGAACUGUGACGGAGCCAUGAUACGUUUCGUAUGUAACAGCCUGCGCAUGUCUCCAUUCGAUGAAGAUGAUAUAGUUUGGUUCGGGUUCACAUCAUUUUGUUUCCGUCGUUAGGUAUACAUGGAGCUUGCAUGGGGAGGCGCGGUCGUUGUGGACAAGGAUCG
This 353-nucleotide long non-coding RNA is filed under the name Helianthus annuus (common sunflower). RNAcentral's name for it is "sRNA HanXRQr2_Chr10g0423411". The record is from RNAcentral. Lineage: Eukaryota; Viridiplantae; Streptophyta; Magnoliopsida; Asterales; Asteraceae.